Molecule: ribosomal RNA, 253 nt
Filed under: uncultured bacterium
Lineage: Bacteria
Description: partial 16S ribosomal RNA
Rfam family: Bacterial small subunit ribosomal RNA
Source: RNAcentral
UACGUAGGGCGCAAGCGUUAUCCGGAAUUAUUGGGCGUAAAGAGCUCGUAGGCGGUUUGUCGCGUCUGCCGUGAAAGUCCGGGGCUCAACUCCGGAUCUGCGGUGGGUACGGGCAGACUAGAGUGAUGUAGGGGAGACUGGAAUUCCUGGUGUAGCGGUGAAAUGCGCAGAUAUCAGGAAGAACACCAAUGGCGAAGGCAGCUCUCUGGGACGGUACUGACGCUGAGACGCGAAAGCGUGGGGAGCGAACAGG